Long non-coding RNA from Rattus rattus (black rat), 1157 nucleotides. RefSeq lists it as uncharacterized. NCBI's taxonomy places the organism in Eukaryota, Metazoa, Chordata, Mammalia, Rodentia, Muridae. The transcript has 2 exons. The record is from RefSeq and is a predicted model, not a curated record.
GGGUAAGGGGAGGGAGAGAGAGAAGGGAGCCCUUCGGUGAUGAAAUCAGUACAUACAUGGGUUUUCUUCUUUGCUCUAAGUUGCUGCCUCUGAUGAUGUCAGCACAGAAGGGUGCAGUGUAGCCCUAAGCUCCUGAUAGGUUGCCUCCCAUCACUCAUGCACCAAGCUGGGAGGGAAAUCCAGGGCAGUGACUUGCCUUCUGAAACAUCCCUACCUUCUAAAGACUUGCAAUGGUUGCCUGGAGGGCUUUCACUUGGAUAGAUCCUUUCCUACUGCCACUCCAGAGUUAUGUCUGUCCUUGAUCUUGGGGUGAGGCAUUAGGUCUAGUCACAGAGUCUAGACUUGUGUUUCCAUAUUGAUGUGCAUGGGUGGGUAGGUGAGGGUCUAGAAUGGAAAUGUUUAGUGAGGCCUAGAGGGAAGGGUCUUCUUUCAAGAGCAUUCAUAUUUGGGAUAUAUCUCCCCCCUCCACCCCCAUCUAAAUUCUUAGUUUCUUUGAAUGGAUUUUUUUCUGACAACACUCACCGACCGCCUGGCCAUGCUGUCCUAUCUUCUGUCUUUUAGAGCUCCUCUCAAGUCCCAAAUUUACCAGUUACCUUAUGUUCCUUUGGUAAGUAUGAUGUUAAAAUGGGUAAUGUGAAGUAUAUAUGUGAAGUUAUAGUGGCUCCUUUCUCAUCUGUUUAGGAAUAAAGAAUCAUAAAUUUUCCGUUUUGAAAACAAAAUGAAGAACCCCCUGGAACUUCCGUCCUGUCCACCUGACCUGUUCUGCUGCUUCAGGGGUGGCACUGUGGACCAGCAGUGAUGGUUGUCCAAGACUGGAGAGCACAUGUGUGAGCAGGACACGCAGGAUUGAGUCAGAACAUCCACUGUUACAAGGCCCUGGAAGACCCGUGGGCACUAGUUAAGGUCACAGCAUGCUGUGAGGAAAACCUCCUGUUGACACAAAAGCAGCAAUCCAGGAGAACUUUAUGGAGCAAGCGUUGAAGUCUGCAUGCCACGGGACACAUUUCUACUGUGGAGAGCAUCUGUUGUGUACUGCAUGGAAACAUCUCCUGUCCAUAGAAGCUGAUGGCCUAUUAGCUGGGGCAGGAAGGAAUAGGAGGUGGAGUUCCAGCAGGGAGGACUAGAAUAAACGGGUUGUUUGAGUUACAAGUUUUUAA